This 464-nucleotide ribosomal RNA is filed under the name uncultured bacterium. RNAcentral's name for it is "partial 16S ribosomal RNA". It matches the Rfam family "Bacterial small subunit ribosomal RNA", at positions 339 to 795 of the family's 1533-position model. The record is from RNAcentral.
CUACGGGGGGCUGCAGUGGGGAAUAUUGCACAAUGGGCGCAAGCCUGAUGCAGCCAUGCCGCGUGUAUGAAGAAGGCCUUCGGGUUGUAAAGUACUUUCAGCGGGGAGGAAGGGAGUAAAGUUAAUACCUUUGCUCAUUGACGUUACCCGCAGAAGAAGCACCGGCUAACUCCGUGCCAGCAGCCGCGGUAAUACGGAGGGUGCAAGCGUUAAUCGGAAUUACUGGGCGUAAAGCGCACGCAGGUGGUUUGUUAAGUCAGAUGUGAAAUCCCCGGGCUCAACCUGGGAACUGCAUCUGAUACUGGCAAGCGUGAGUCUCGUAGAGGGGGGUAGAAUUCCAGGUGUAGCGGUGAGAUGCGUAGAGAUCUGGAGGAAUACCGGUGGCGAAGGCGGCCCCCUGGACGAAGACUGACGCUCAGGUGCGAAAGCGUGGGGAGCAAACAGGAUUAGAUACCCCUGUAGUC